Molecule: ribosomal RNA, 447 nt
Filed under: uncultured bacterium
Lineage: Bacteria
Description: bacterial SSU rRNA
Rfam family: Bacterial small subunit ribosomal RNA
Source: RNAcentral
AUCCAGACUCCUACGGGAGGCAGCAGUGGGGGAUAUUGCACAAUGGGGGGAACCCUGAUGCAGCGACGCCGCGUGGGUGAAGAAGCGCCUAGGCGCGUAAAGCCCUGUCAGCAGGGAAGAAAAUGACGGUACCUGAAGAAGAAGCCCCGGCUAACUACGUGCCAGCAGCCGCGGUAAUACGUAGGGGGCAAGCGUUAUCCGGAUUUACUGGGUGUAAAGGGGGCGCAGACGGCGAUGCAAGCCAGGAGUGAAAGCCCGGGGCCCAACCCCGGGACUGCUCUUGGAACUGCGUGGCUGGAGUGCAGGAGGGGCAGGCGGAAUUCCUGGUGUAGCGGUGAAAUGCAUAGAUAUCAGGAGGAACACCGGCGGCGAAGGCGGCCUGCUGGACCGUGACUGACGUUGAGGCUCGAGAGCGUGGGGAGCACACAGGAUUAGAUACCCUCGUAC